GGCGACCGGGUGAGUAACACGUGGGUAAUCUACCUCCGGGUGGGGAAUAACACCUCAAAAGAGGUGCUAAUACCGCAUAAUGCAGCGGCACCUAGUGGUGAUUAGUUGUUAAAGCGGGGGAUCGCAAGACCUCGCGCCUGGAGAGGAGCCUGCGGCCGGUUAGCUAGUUGGUGAGGUAACGGCUCACCAAGGCGACGAUCGGUAGCUGGUCUGAGAGGACGGCCAGCCACACUGGCACUGAAAUACGGGCCAGACUCCUACGGGAGGCAGCAGUGGGGAAUUUUGGGCAAUGGGCGCAAGCCUGACCCAGCAACGCCGCGUGAGGGAGGAAAUCCUUCGGGAUGUAAACCUCGCAAGCAGGGGAAGAGUGCUUUCGACCUAAUACGUUGAAAGAGGGACGGUACCCUGCGUAAGCCACGGCUAACUACGUGCCAGCCGCCGCGG
RNAcentral lists this ribosomal RNA (444 nucleotides) under uncultured bacterium. RNAcentral describes it as "bacterial SSU rRNA". It matches the Rfam family "Bacterial small subunit ribosomal RNA", at positions 97 to 520 of the family's 1533-position model. The record is from RNAcentral.